UUCCUGAUGGUCUAGUGGUUAAGACUCCAAGCUCCCAAUACAGGGGCUCCAGGUUUGAUCCCUGGUCUGGGAA
RNAcentral lists this transfer RNA (73 nucleotides) under Ovis aries (sheep). It matches the Rfam family "tRNA". Rfam says of the family: Transfer RNA (tRNA) molecules are approximately 80 nucleotides in length. The record is from Rfam by way of RNAcentral. Lineage: Eukaryota; Metazoa; Chordata; Mammalia; Artiodactyla; Bovidae.